This 549-nucleotide ribosomal RNA is filed under the name uncultured Glomeromycotina. RNAcentral's name for it is "SSU rRNA". It matches the Rfam family "Eukaryotic small subunit ribosomal RNA", at positions 548 to 1098 of the family's 1831-position model. The record is from RNAcentral. Lineage: Eukaryota; Fungi; Glomeromycota.
UUGGAGGGCAAGUCUGGUGCCAGCAGCCGCGGUAAUUCCAGCUCCAAUAGCGUAUAUUAAAGUUGUUGCAGUUAAAAAGCUCGUAGUUGAAUUUCGGGGUCAGUAGGUUGGUCGUGCCUAUGGUAUGUACUGGCUUUACUGAUUCCUCCUUCUUGAAGAACUGUAAUGUCAUUAAUUUGGUGUUGCAGGGAAACAGGACUGUUACUUUGAAAAAAUUAGAGUGUUUAAAGCAGGCUAACGCUUGAAUACAUUAGCAUGGAAUAAUGAAAUAGGACGUUCGAUCCUAUUUUGUUGGUUUCUAGGAUUGACGUAAUGAUUAAUAGGGAUAGUUGGGGGCAUUAGUAUUCAAUUGUCAGAGGUGAAAUUCUUGGAUUUAUUGAAGACUAACUACUGCGAAAGCAUUUGCCAAGGAUGUUUUCAUUAACCAAGAACGAAAGUUAGGGGAUCGAAGACGAUCAGAUACCGUCGUAGUCUUAACCAUAAACUAUGCCGACUAGGGAUCGGAUGAUGUUAAUUUUUUAAUGACUCAUUCGGCGCCUUACGGGAAAC